GCCGCGGUAGCUCAGUGGAGAGAGCACCUGCCUACGAAGCAGGGGGGCCGGGGGUUCAAAUCCCUCUCGCGGUA
RNAcentral lists this transfer RNA (74 nucleotides) under Mycobacteroides abscessus 5S-0304. RNAcentral describes it as "tRNA-Arg". It matches the Rfam family "tRNA". From Rfam's summary of the family: Transfer RNA (tRNA) molecules are approximately 80 nucleotides in length. Their secondary structure includes four short double-helical elements and three loops (D, anti-codon, and T loops). RNAcentral also lists the same sequence under 8 other names. Lineage: Bacteria; Bacillati; Actinomycetota; Actinomycetes; Mycobacteriales; Mycobacteriaceae. The record is from RNAcentral.